CAGUAGCCGCGGGAAUACGUAGGUGGCAAGCGUUGUCCGGAAUUAUUGGGCGUAAAGGGCUCGCAGGCGGUUUCUUAAGUCUGAUGUGAAAGCCCUCGGCUCAACCGGGGAGGGUCAUUGGAAACUGGGAAACUUGAGUGCAGAAGAGGAGAGUGGAAUUCCACGUGUAGCGGUGAAAUGCGUAGAGAUGUGGAGGAACACCAGUGGCGAAGGCGACUCUCUGGUCUGUAACUGACGCUGAGGAGCGAAAGCGUGGGGAGCAAACAGGAUUAGAUACCCCGGUAGUCCCUGUCUCUUAUAC
This 301-nucleotide ribosomal RNA is filed under the name uncultured bacterium. Its description in RNAcentral is "partial 16S ribosomal RNA". It matches the Rfam family "Bacterial small subunit ribosomal RNA", at positions 509 to 807 of the family's 1533-position model. The record is from RNAcentral.